RNAcentral lists this transfer RNA (74 nucleotides) under Ovis aries (sheep). It matches the Rfam family "tRNA". From Rfam's summary of the family: Transfer RNA (tRNA) molecules are approximately 80 nucleotides in length. Their secondary structure includes four short double-helical elements and three loops (D, anti-codon, and T loops). The record is from Rfam by way of RNAcentral. Lineage: Eukaryota; Metazoa; Chordata; Mammalia; Artiodactyla; Bovidae.
UCUCUGGUGGUCCAGAGGCUAAGACUCUUACCUGCCAAUGGUAGGAGGCCUAGGUUCAAUCCCUGAUUAGAGAA